This 253-nucleotide ribosomal RNA is filed under the name uncultured bacterium. Its description in RNAcentral is "partial 16S ribosomal RNA". It matches the Rfam family "Bacterial small subunit ribosomal RNA", at positions 524 to 776 of the family's 1533-position model. The record is from RNAcentral.
UACAGAGGGGGCAAGCGUUAUUCGGAAUUAUUGGGCGUAAAGGGCGCGUAGGCGGCCUGGCAAGUGGAAGGUGAAAUCCCUCGGCUUAACCGAGGAACUGCCCUCCAAACUGCUUGGCUUGAGUCCGGGAGAGGUGAGUGGAACUGCGAGUGUAGAGGUGAAAUUCGUAGAUAUUCGCAAGAACACCAGUGGCGAAGGCGGCUCACUGGCCCGAUACUGACGCUGAGGCACGAAAGCGUGGGGAGCAAACAGG